RNAcentral lists this ribosomal RNA (301 nucleotides) under uncultured bacterium. Its description in RNAcentral is "partial 16S ribosomal RNA". It matches the Rfam family "Bacterial small subunit ribosomal RNA", at positions 509 to 808 of the family's 1533-position model. The record is from RNAcentral.
CAGUCGCCGCGGGAAUACGAAGGGUGCAAGCGUUACUCGGAAUUACUGGGCGUAAAGCGUGCGUAGGUGGUGGUUAAGUCCGUUGUGAAAGCCCUGGGCUCAACCUGGGAAUUGCAGUGGAUACUGGGUCACUAGAGUGUGGUAGAGGAUAGUGGAAUUUCCGGUGUAGCAGUGAAAUGCGUAGAGAUCGGAAGGAACAUCUGUGGCGAAGGCGACUAUCUGGGCCAACACUGACACUGAGGCACGAAAGCGUGGGGAGCAAACAGGAUUAGAUACCCCCGUAGUCCCUGUCUCUUAUACA